CACUUCCUUGUCUUGGGGAGCAUAGUGCGCAGUGAUCGUAAAGUGAGAGCACUGAUGCUGACACCCAGUUAUACUUGUAUAACAUACCCGCGCCCGGCUGCCGUAAAGGGAGUCUGAGCGCAAUUUUUGAAAGG
This is a small nuclear RNA of Pararge aegeria (speckled wood butterfly), 134 nucleotides long. RefSeq annotates it as U4atac minor spliceosomal RNA. NCBI's taxonomy places the organism in Eukaryota, Metazoa, Arthropoda, Insecta, Lepidoptera, Nymphalidae. The transcript has a single exon. The record is from RefSeq and is a predicted model, not a curated record.